CCGCGGGAUUAGAGUUUGAUCCUGGCUCAGGAUGAACGCUAGCGGCAGGCUUAAUACAUGCAAGUCGAGGGGCAGCACGUUUGACAGCAAUGUUAGAUGGUGGCGACCGGCAAACGGGUGCGGAACACGUACGCAACCUUCCCGAAACAGGUGAAUAGCCCUCCGAAAGGAGGAUUAAUACACCGUAAGAUAUAGGUGUGGCAUCACAAUUAUAUUAUAGGCCGCAAGGUCGGUUUUGGAUGGGCGUGCGCCUGAUUAGGUAGUUGGUGCGGGUAACGGCCCACCAAGCCUUCGAUCAGUAACUGGUGUGAGAGCACGACCAGUCACACGGGCACUGAGACACGGGCCCGACUCCUACGGGAGGCAGCAGUAAGGAAUAUCGGUCAAUGGACGCAAGUCUGAACCAGCCAUGCCGCGUGAAGGAUGAAGGCCCUCUGGGUUGUAAACUUCUUUUAUCUGGGACGAAAAAAGGGUUUUUGAACUCACUUGACGGUACCAGAGGAAUAAGCACCGGCUAACUCCGUGCCAGCAGCCGCGGUAAUACGGAGGGUGCAAGCGUUAUCCGGAUUUACUGGGUUUAAAGGGUGCGUAGGUGGGUAAGUAAGUCAGUGGUGAAAUCUCCGGGCUUAACCCGGAAACUGCCAUUGAUACUAUUUAUCUUGAAUACUUUGGAGGUAAGCGGAAUAUGUCAUGUAGCGGUGAAAUGCUUAGAUAUGACAUAGAACACCAAUUGCGAAGGCAGCUUACUACACAGUGAUUGACACUGAGGCACGAAAGCGUGGGGAUCAAACAGGAUUAGAUACCCUGGUAGUCCACGCCCUAAACGAUGGAUACUCGACAUUAGCGAUACACAGAUAGUGUCUG
This 864-nucleotide ribosomal RNA is filed under the name uncultured Bacteroidota bacterium. RNAcentral's name for it is "bacterial SSU rRNA". It matches the Rfam family "Bacterial small subunit ribosomal RNA", at positions 1 to 849 of the family's 1533-position model. Lineage: Bacteria; Pseudomonadati; Bacteroidota. The record is from RNAcentral.